GACGAACGCUGGCGGCAUGCCUAACACAUGCAAGUCGAACGAGAACUUCGGGUUUAGUGGCGCCCGGGUUCGUGACCGGUGGGAUCCUGCCCUUAUGUUCGGCCUCACUCUCCGACAGGGGUGCUAAUACCGGAUAAUGUCUUCGGACCAAAGAUUUAUCGCCUUUGGAGGGUCCCGCGUUGGAUUAGCUUGUUGGUAGGGUAAAAGGCUACCAAGGCGACGAUCCAUAGCUGGUCUGAGAGGAUGAUCCGCGACUCUGCGACGGAGAAGCGGCCAAGACGACGCCGGGAUGGGGCAGAGUGGAAUAUGGGAGAAUGGGCGAAGGCGUGACGCAGCAAGGCCGCGGGAGUGAUGAAGGUCGUAGAGUUGUAAAGCUCAUGUAGCCGGGAUGGUAAUGACGGUACCGGGAGAAGAAGCACCGGCUAACUCCGUG
Molecule: ribosomal RNA, 433 nt
Filed under: uncultured bacterium
Lineage: Bacteria
Description: partial 16S ribosomal RNA
Rfam family: Bacterial small subunit ribosomal RNA
Source: RNAcentral